Molecule: ribosomal RNA, 253 nt
Filed under: uncultured bacterium
Lineage: Bacteria
Description: partial 16S ribosomal RNA
Rfam family: Bacterial small subunit ribosomal RNA
Source: RNAcentral
UACGGAGGGUGCAAGCGUUGUCCGGAUUUAUUGGGUUUAAAGGGUGCGUAGGUGGCACGUUAAGUCAGUUGUGAAAUCCCCGGGCUCAACCCGGGAACUGCUUCUGAUACUGGCGUGCUUGAGGCCAGUAGGGGUCACUAGAACUGACGGUGGAGCGGUGAAAUGCGUAGAUAUCGUCAGGAAUGCCGGUGGUGAAGACGGGUGACUGGGCUGGUUCUGACACUGAGGCACGAAAGCGUGGGGAGCAAACAGG